This 284-nucleotide unclassified non-coding RNA is filed under the name Hevea brasiliensis (rubber tree). Lineage: Eukaryota; Viridiplantae; Streptophyta; Magnoliopsida; Malpighiales; Euphorbiaceae. The record is from RNAcentral.
GUUCACACUUCUGAUUGAUUCAGCCAUGAUCAUUUUUCUGUGGUAAAACCCCCGCAAGCUGGAGAAUGAAUGUUGAUCAUUGCCAGCUUGAGAAAAAUAGCAUGAAAGGAAGUAACACCUAAAGGCUUAGUAUGAAUAUCUGCUAGCUGAGCCUGGGAAGGAACUGGCAUAAGCUUGAUAAGACCCUUUGGAGAGAUGAUUGAUAUCAGCAGAUGAUAUGAGACCACAAUGAUAGUCUUGCAAGUAAGUUGGAGGUCUCCUUGAUCUAGUAAACAUUCUGGUAG